RNAcentral lists this ribosomal RNA (996 nucleotides) under Triticum aestivum (bread wheat). Its description in RNAcentral is "partial small subunit ribosomal RNA". Lineage: Eukaryota; Viridiplantae; Streptophyta; Magnoliopsida; Poales; Poaceae. The record is from RNAcentral.
AUGCCGCCGUGCGAAGACCUUGAGGUCGUUGCCUAUGAGGCGGAUGACGCGCAGCGUGCCGUCCUCGCCGCCGACGAUCCGCGAGGUCCGUAUGUGCGACGGCCCCCAGACGGUCUCCGGGAAUGCGGCGAGCGAGAACUCCGCGGUGGCCUCGUCAAGGGCAAGAACGGCGGUGGCGCAUCCGUCAAUUCCCCAGUACAGAGUGCCGUUUGCGCGCCCUACGAAAUUUUCGGGGCCGAGCUUUGGGAGCUCGACGUGGCUGGUGAUCUCGCUGUAAAUAAUGCGCCAGCCGCCAUCCCUGCCCGUGGAGAACACACAUGCCAUGGCAUCGUCGACGGCCGCAAGGACCCUGAAGUUGGACGUGCUGACGCGGCGGUCCGCGUCGUCGCCGUCAAGCAGGAACACGCCGAGGCGGCCGGUUCCGUCCAGAUCCUCCGGCCAGAGGAUCCCCUGGUAGAGCCCGGUGAGCGGCUCGCAUACCAUAAGGUCGGGGUAGUGGCGGACACGGCGACUGUAGUCGCGCCAGCUCUGCGGCGCCCUCUUCUUGGUGAGGAGGAGGAGGCUGCCGCGGCUGUCCGCGAUCUCCCACGAUCCGCUCUCCGGGAGGAACUCGAGGAAGAAGCGGCUGCGGUCGACGACGACCGGCGAGGAGGGGACGAAGAGGGGCUCGCCGCCCUGGACGGUGUGGUAGUCGCCGACGUACGGGACCUGCUCGUGGACCGGGCCGAAGCGGGCGAGGAAGCCGGGGUUCCCGACGACGCGGCACCACCGCUUGCAGGCGGCCGCGGCGCGGACGAGGCAUGGCGACGGGCCGAGGCGGAGGAGGAUGAGCUCGAAGAGGUGGUCGGGGAGGUCCUCCACGGUCGUCGGUCCGGCCUCUUUCUUCUUCUUGUUUUUGGCUUCGCUCUUCUUGCCCCGCCGCCGACGACGAGGUCCCUCCGACGACGCCAUAUGCGAAGGGAAGGGGAGUGGCGUCUCUCUCACGCACCGCGCUGA